Molecule: ribosomal RNA, 253 nt
Filed under: uncultured bacterium
Lineage: Bacteria
Description: partial 16S ribosomal RNA
Rfam family: Bacterial small subunit ribosomal RNA
Source: RNAcentral
UACGUAGGGGGCAAGCGUUAUCCGGAUUUACUGGGUGUAAAGGGAGCGUAGACGGCAGAGCAAGUCUGAAGUGAAAGCCCGCGGCCCAACUGCGGGACUGCUUUGGAAACUGCCCGGCUAGAGUGCUGGAGAGGUAAGCGGAAUUCCUAGUGUAGCGGUGAAAUGCGUAGAUAUUAGGAGGAACACCAGUGGCGAAGGCAGCUUACUGGACAGUAACUGACGUUGAGGCUCGAAAGCGUGGGGAGCAAACAGG